UGGCUCAGGAUGAACGCUGGCGGCGUGCCUAACACAUGCAAGUCGAACGGAGUUCUUAAGGAAUGCGGCUUCGGCUAAAUGACUUUUGAACUUAGUGGCGGACGGGUGAGUAACGCGUGAGCAACCUGCCUUUCAGAGGGGGAUAACAUUUGGAAACAGAUGCUAAUACCGCAUAAGAUUACAGUACCGCAUGAUACAGUGAUCAAAGGAGCAAUCCGCUGAAAGAUGGGCUCGCGUCCGAUUAGAUAGUUGGUGAGGUAACGGCUCACCAAGUCGACGAUCGGUAGCCGGACUGAGAGGUUGAACGGCCACAUUGGGACUGAGAUACGGCCCAGACUCCUACGGGAGGCAGCAGUGGGGAAUAUUGGGCAAUGGGCGCAAGCCUGACCCAGCAACGCCGCGUGAAGGAAGAAGGCUUUCGGGUUGUAAACUUCUUUUAAGAGGGAAGAGCAGAAGACGGUACCUCUAGAAUAAGCCACGGCUAACUACGUG
RNAcentral lists this ribosomal RNA (492 nucleotides) under uncultured bacterium. RNAcentral's name for it is "bacterial SSU rRNA". It matches the Rfam family "Bacterial small subunit ribosomal RNA", at positions 20 to 507 of the family's 1533-position model. The record is from RNAcentral.